AGGAAUAUUGGUCAAUGGACGAGAGUCUGAACCAGCCAAGUAGCGUGAAGGAUGAAGGUCCUACGGAUUGUAAACUUCUUUUAUAAGGGAAUAAACCCUCCCACGUGUGGGAGCUUGUAUGUACCUUAUGAAUAAGCAUCGGCUAACUCCGUGCCAGCAGCCGCGGUAAUACGGAGGAUGCGAGCGUUAUCCGGAUUUAUUGGGUUUAAAGGGAGCGCAGACGGGUCGUUAAGUCAGCUGUGAAAGUUUGGGGCUCAACCUUAAAAUUGCAGUUGAUACUGGCGUCCUUGAGUGCGGUUGAGGUGUGCGGAAUUCGUGGUGUAGCGGUGAAAUGCUUAGAUAUCACGAAGAACUCCGAUUGCGAAGGCAGCACACUAAGCCGUAACUGACGUUCAUGCUCGAAAGUGUGGGUAUCAAACAGGAUUAGAUACCCUGGUAGUCCACACGGUAAACGAUGGAUACUCGCUGUUGGCGAUAUACUGUCAGCGGCUUAGCGAAAGCGUUAAGUAUCCCACCUGGGGAGUACGCCGGCAACGGUGAAACUCAAAGGAAUUGACGGGGGCCCGCACAAGCGGAGGAACAUGUGGUUUAAUUCGAUGAUACGCGAGGAACCUUACCCGGGCUUAAAUUGCAAAGGAAUAAUCUGGAAACAGAUUAGUCUUCGGACCUUUGUGAAGGUGCUGCAUGGUUGUCGUCAGCUCGUGCCGUGAGGUGUCGGCUUAAGUGCCAUAACGAGCGCAACCCUCGCCGCCAGUUACUAACAGUUAAAGCUGAGGACUCUGGCGGGACUGCCAUCGUAAGAUGUGAGGAAGGUGGGGAUGACGUCAAAUCAGCACGGCCCUUACGUCCGGGGCUACACACGUGUUACAAUGGGCGGUACAGAAGGCAGCUACCUGGCAACAGGAUGCCAAUCCCGAAAGCCGCUCUCAGUUCGGACUGGAGUCUGCAAUCCGACUCCACGAAGCUGGAUUCGCUAGUAAUCGCGCAUCAGCCACGGCGCGGUGAAUACGUUCCCG
RNAcentral lists this ribosomal RNA (1016 nucleotides) under uncultured bacterium. RNAcentral describes it as "bacterial SSU rRNA". It matches the Rfam family "Bacterial small subunit ribosomal RNA", at positions 357 to 1376 of the family's 1533-position model. The record is from RNAcentral.